Molecule: long non-coding RNA, 12497 nt
Filed under: Marmota monax (woodchuck)
Lineage: Eukaryota; Metazoa; Chordata; Mammalia; Rodentia; Sciuridae
Source: RNAcentral
CCUCUUGGGCCACCGUCGCCCACCCGGCAGUAGCGUAUAUAGAUGCCUUUCUUGCAAGGUUGGAAUAAGACGUUAAAGGUGUUGAUUUCUGAUUUGGAGGACGCGAAAGCAACAGAGAUCCUCCCCGCUCUCCUUUCCCCCGCUCUCCUUUCGCCCACUGACCCCCGACCUUCGCUCAGACACUUUGCAAGAGCCCCAGCCCGGCAUGAACCUUCCGGCGCGGCAGUCCCAGAGCCCACUUGCAGCCAUCCUCCUUGGUUGCUUCUAGGCCUGGCUGCGAGGAGUGGGACUCCCAACCUUUGUUGGGAGACAAAGAACAAGAAAAGGGAGCCUGGAAAAUUAACUGGCACAGAGGGUAAGAUUUAGACAAGGCUGAUGGCUUUAGGGAUUGCGGAGUGUCCCGUGUAGCUGCGCUGCAAGAGUGCUCUAAUGUGCCAUAAACAUGAUGUCUCGAUUUUCUAGACUUCAGGUUAAUUUCUCACGCCUAGCUGUCACAUACAACCCACCCUUCCCUGCUCCCAUUGAUGCACUGAUUAAAAAGAAGAAAAUAAAAUGAUCCCCACCCAUUGUACCAGACCAAAUUCUGGAAGUUUAUUCAGUGACUUGAUGGGUACAUUAGUGACUAAGUAACUUAUUCAAGGUAACAUUGACAACAGGUGGCAAAGUCAGAAUCUGAACUCCGAUCUCGUGGACUCUAGGGGCUGUGCUAUGAACCAAGAUGCUAGAGGACUCUCAGAAAUGUUUAGUCCCAGCCCUAAUUGAAGCCAGCUUAGACCACAGUGCUGACGAAUAAAGCAUACCAGAUGCUAAGAGUCAAAAAAAUAGAACCAGAAGUCAGUAAAUUAUUUAAAGUAAGACUCCAUGGGUAUCUGGGUUUUAGUUUCCUUAUCUGGAUGAAACAGAAUUGGACCUGCUGAAGUCCAAGAUCUCUCCCAGCCCUAAUAGUCUAGGAAUUCUAGAGAAUAUAAUUGGUAAUUUGCUGGUUGCCAUCUAGAAUAUCACAACAUUGUCUUCUGGGUGAUGAAGACUUUUAGAUUGAUAAACAUAGAUGAAGCAGCACCAAGGUGAACUGGCCUCACCAUUGCUGAUUUGAAACUAGGUUCUAAACUGCUUGGUGCACGAGGACAGAGAGAAAUGCUGAUGGUUGCCUGGUAGAUGACUGUGAAAUAAUCCCCCUUUUCAUUCUCCCCUCAACCCCCUUCUGCCAGACAAAACUUAAUUGUGUCACAUUGGAAGAAAAACAGACUCUUGAGACAGGAGUAAAUCUGUAGUCAAAAAGCUACAAACCACUUUGUAAAGAGCCCUCACAACACAUCUGGCCGACUAGCUACUUCUGGAAUUACUAAGAAUCCAAUGAAAUUUACAUUUCACCUUUCAAAACAAAUGUAACCAAACAAGGAGGACAUUACAGCCCCUGCUUAAGGAACAUUUGCUGACUUCUUUUAAACCAGAGGCAGAUGACAGAAGUGCAGAACAAGGGGAGUUUUAAGCAAAAGCUGCAACUAUUUUUUUCCACUCUGGAACUUUACAAUAGACAGAUCAGAAUAGGUUACUGAAGAGGAUUCUGUUUGUGAGUAAAUUGGCUUUUAGACUCAAAGGCCUUCACUCCCCUGAAAUAGGAUGGGACUUUCUUCAAUUUGAGAUAUAAUAAAAAUGCUUCCCAUUAUGACAGACCCUUAGAUGGAAGUAUGCAUCUUUGCCUCAAACACUCAAAAUCACAUGAGGGGCUUGGUUUGGACAUAAGCUCAGUUUGUGCUGGAAUAACCUUCAGUAGCUGUUAUUUGUUUACAUUUCAUAUGUUCAUGUGAAAUUUUAUAUGUUAUGUCAAUAGGAAGACAAAGAAUUUCCAUUUAAGGCAAUUUGACCCAUCUUAUGGAAACUCUCCCUGUUUUCACUUCAGAUAUCCUUUUGUAGAAUGCAGCAGAGGAGGGGGCAGGUUGAAAUUAAUUUAACUCCUUGCCAGUAUGCUUGGCUUAUGGAGCUCUAGACUGAGUUCUAGAUGAAUAGCAUUCAUUCAUUUUCAUCUUUAAGCUCCUUGGAGAUAGGAUUUCACAAUCUACUGGAUAAACCACACAUUAAAUAACCCCUUACCUUUGGAAUUGUUUUCAUGGCCCUAAUCUAAUCUUUCCUCCAUUAUAUAAUCUUAGAUCUGGAAAAUAAAGGUAAAUGUAUAGAUGCUUCCCAACUAACAAUGGAGUUACAUUCUAAUAAACCCAUCAUAAAUUUAAAAUAUUCUAAGUGGAAAAUGUAUUUAAUGCACCUACCCUACUGAACAUCCUAGCUUAACAACAUAGCACAUUGUAGAGAAUCAGUUUUCCCCUGUGAUCACAGGGCCGACUGGGAGUUGAAGCUCACUGAAGCUGCUCAGCAUCUCCAGAGAGGAUCAGGCCACAUAUCAGUAGCCCAGGAAAAGAUCCAAAUUCAAUAUUCAGAGAGAGGUUUCUACUGAAUGCAUACUGCUUUCCCACCAUUAUAAAGUUGAAAAACAGUGAGUUGAUCCAUACUAAUUUGAAGACUAUCUGUAUUAGUUUUCCACAAAUUUGAUGAAUUAAAACAGAUUAACUUACAGUUUUGUACACAAGAAAUCCAAAACAGUCACAGGGCUAAAAUUAAGGUGUUGACAGUGCAGUGUUCCUUUCUGGAAGCUGUGGGAGUGGGCCUUUUGCUUACCUUUUAUUUUAGAGGCUGACCACAUUCCUUGGUUUAUCGCCCCCUAUCUCCAUCUUCAAAACCAGCAGUGUUGCAUCUCUGACCAUUUACUCUGAACCAGUAAAGUUCACUGAUUUUAAGGGCAUGUGAUUAGAUUAGGCCCACUGUUUUGGUUUUUGUUUUUGGAAGGAAAAAUAGAAACGUACCACACCGGCAGAUACUUACUGUGAACAAACCAAGAACAAACGUUACCUCAAGGCUAAAGCCAAUGAUCCCAAAAUUGGACAUGAGUCAGCAACAAAAGUCUUUUACUAAUAAAACUCCUGACUGGAUGAAGUGCUUAUAAUACUUUAUGUUGAUAUUUAUGAAGCACUUUAAAAAAAAUUUAUUUUAGUUGUAGAUGGAAACAAUACCUUUAAUUUAUAUUUAUGUGGUGUUGAGGAUUGAACCCAGUGCCUCACACAUGCCAGAUGAGUGCGCUACCACUGAGCCACAACCCUAGCCCCUUAUGAAGCACUUAAAACAAUGUGCCAGGGACAUUUAGUGUAUGUGUGCACUACUUGGUAGGUGCUAUUGUUCAUAUUUUACGAAUGAGACUGAUGGCCAGAAAAUUAAAGUUUUUCUUGGUUGUGGAGGGUACCAGGGGAUUGAACUCAGGGGCACUCAACCACUGAACCACAUCCUCAGCCCUAUUUUGUAUUUUUUAAAAAUAUUUUUUUAGUUGUCAAUGGACCUUUUUUUUUUAUUUAUUUAUAUGUGGUGUUGAGAACUGAACCCAAUGCCUCACACAUGCUAGACAAGCGCUCUAACACUGAGCCACAAUCCCAGCCCCUAUUUUGUAUUUUUAUUUAGAGACAGGGUUUCACUGAGUUGCUUAGCACUUUGCUUUUGCUAAGGCUGGUUUUGAACUCGUGGUCCUCCUGUCUCAACCUCCCAAGCUGCUGGGAUUACAGGCAUGUGCCACCUCACCCAGCUAAAAUUAAGGUUUUUGCAUGAGGCCCCCUGACCCAUUAUGUGGCAAAUUUGGAAUAUGAGCUGACAUCUGUCACCAAAGUCUGUGUUUUUAAUCAUUAUAAUUGCCUCUCAGAGCAUUCUGCUCACAUGGAGUGCUGGUUGCAGAUCUGGCUUUGGCCAAAGGGUUUGCAAACCUUAAGAGGAUUCAAAGGCCAGCAGUGAAGAAAUAGGAUUUAACCUGAAGAAGAAAACACUGAAAUGCAGCCAGGUGCAAUGGUGCAUGCCUGUAUUCCCAGAGACUCAGGAGACUGAGGCAGGAGGAUCACAAUUGAGACAGCCUCAGCAAUUUAGGGAGGCCUUAAACAACUUAGCAAGACCCUGUCUCAAAUUUAAAACAAUAAAUAAAUGAAAAAAAAGGACUGGGAAUGUAGCUCAGUGGUGAAGUGUUCUUUGUAAUAAUACACAUGUAUCUAUGUGCAUGUGUUACAUUUAAUAAUUUAUAACUUCUCUACCUAUAAACACCUGUAUAUUUGGAGUAUUUUUUAAAAUAACUUGUUACUGGAAGUAAUGUGCAAUCAAAAUAGUUUAAAGGCUAUGUUUCUAAAUUUGUUUCCUCUAGGCCAAUCUAUGAACUUGCACUUCUCAAAAUCAAAGGUCUAUAAUCACAUCUCUGAAAAGUUCCUUCCUCCCUUAUAUUCAAUAUACAUUUAGAGAACAUCCACUAUGUCCCAGCUCCUGCUAGGAUUUGAAAAUACAAAAAAGAAGCCAGGCAUGGUGGCACACACCUGUAAUCCCAGUGAUUUUGGAGGCUGAGGCAGUAGAUAACAAGUUCAAUGAUAGCCUCAGCAAUUUAUUGAGAUGCUGUCUCAAAAUAAAAAAAUAAAAAGGUCUGAAGAUGUAGCUCAGUGGUAAAACACCCCUGGGUUCAAUUCCCAGUACCAAAAACUAAAAAGUUGAGAUGCAAAUCACAGCAAUCUUAGCUUAUCUGAUGGCAAUUAGGAUCAAGGAAUAGAAGAUUCAGAGUAUACCAAAAUUGAAUUGAGAUUCUUCUAGAAGUACAGGCUGCUAAAUAUGGGUGGCAGUUAUGAAGGCACACUACUUAAAAGAGCAUAAUGGACUAGUAGACUUCAGUUGCCACACUAUUGCAUCAGCCUCAGUACUCAAACCCAAACUUCCCUGCCCCUUAGCCAGGGAUGAAGCAUGUAGGUAGUCCUGGAACUGGGCCAUUUCUGCCCAGAGAACUCCUUUGUCAGUCUGAAGGACUCCCUACCUGAGCCUCUCAGAACUCACUCCAGGCAAAAGCUUUUCCUAUCUAAGCCUCCUUCCUUCCCUUUCUUCUCUCAAACAUGUCAGAUCUACAUGAUGACCUGGAGGUCCUUAUCUACUCCUGCUCCCUCCCCAUUUAUCCUUAAAUAUCCAGUGUUUCCACAAUCUAUCUCUUGAAUGUAUAAUUCUGUCUUGGUGCUGCUUCUCAGAGACCUAAAUUGACACAAAUAUUGAGUGUGUGAUGAAAAGGAAAUAACAGCUUUGGUCUUCAUAAGCAGGCUUAGCAAUUAACUGAAUGAGAAUUUUUAAGUGCUGGUUCCUGAGAAUCUAAGAGGAUGUGCUUUUCAGACAGUCCAUCUUUUACACCUGAGUCUAGGAGUCCAAGUUUACUUUAGUGUUUAAAUAUAACAGGUUAAAUGUUCCUAGUUUAUUUUAGUGUUUUAAGUCACUGUAAUAAGGGCCUAAGAAAUAUGGCCUGAAGGUAUUCAUCUGAUGGAAAAUGAGAAAUGCCUGAAAUGGCAUACUUACCACCCCUGCCAUCAUCUCUGAUCUGCAACCUGCACUGCUAUGACAUUGGCAAUUAAAAUUACUUCAGGAGCCUGCAACUUCCCAAGCCAGCUGUGGGAGUGUUCUCAGAGACCAAUGAUGAAUCAGCUCAAACUUCUCCAAAGCCCUAAAAAACCAGAUAGCUCAUGGCUCAUAAUAUUUGUCCUAAAUACAUUAGAAGCUUUUUGCUAUAUUGAUCUUGAAUCAUUAGCCUUGUAAGACCAACAAUUAUACAUCUUCUGGCAAUGAACACACGGAGUCAGAAUUUUGAAAAAAAAUUUUGUAGAUAUUAAAGACAUUAAAAACAAAAUACAACAUUAUUUUGCCUUGCUUCUAAACAGCAAGGUUAUGACCUUAGGUAAAUUAUUUAAGUUCUCUAGGUAAUUCUGAGAAUUGUUGGUGUUGAGACUUAACAUUAUACAAUCACUGAAACUGUAAUCCUCAGUUAAGGGGUCAAAGUUAUUCUUCGUUUCUCAGGAGGACUGGUCUAGUUCAGAAAAUACCUUUCCAUAGGGAUAUGGUACACUUUCCUUAGGUGCCUGUGGUAAUUGUCCCUCUCAGUAUAUUUGGUCAAGAUAGUGAAGUGAACAAACUGUUUGAAGAGCUCCAUGGUGAUGUCAUGUUGAAUAAGGUGUUUGCUAAUACCAGCACACAAACAACUUUGCUAUCACUCACAGGAUGAACACUCUUUAAAAUUAAAUCUAAAUCCUCUUUCUUUGCCAAACAAAAGUCAGAACACAGUUAAUGGUGAGACACAUCCACUAUUAUUCUGUAAUGGGUUAACAAGGCCCUGGCAGUCACCAGGCCCCUUUCCCAAUCUUGCUUUCUCCCCACACAUGGUUAGCCUGGCUGUAGGUCCUUUAGCACAGAGUGGGAAGGUUCCUCCCCCACUGGCUGGAAACUUAGCAAAGAGAUUAGAUGGAAUCAAUGAGAGACAAGACAAAUCACACACAACCAAAGCCACUGUUUGCCAGGCAGAGAGGCCAGAGUCAGAGAUUUCAACCUUGGUAUACCCGUGGUGGCAGGUAGACACAAUGUGUUUAGUAGGAGGAUAAAGACAGGCAAAUUUGAAAUUGGAAAAAGGCAAGCUUCACAGUCUCAAGCACUCUCAUUCAAGAUAAACUCUUAAAUUAUUUCUUCAGGCCAGGCGCAUUGGCACAUGCCUGUAAUCCCAGUGACUCAGGAAACUGAGAUGGGAGGAUCAGAAGUUCAAGGCCAACCUCAGCAACUUAGCAAGGCCCUUUGUAACUUAUGAAAACCCUGUCUCAAAACAGAAAAAAGACUGGGGAUGUAGCUCAGCUGUAAAGCACCCUUGGGUUCAAUCCCCAGUAUAAAACAAAAACAAAAACAACAAAAAAAAGAUGUAUUUCUCAAAUUUUACAUCAUUCUAUUUGUUAAUUUGCAGGACUAUUAGAUUUUUCUGCUUUUGCUGAACUUGAAUAGUGUUUACAUAACCUUGUGGGUUAUACAAAUUUUUGUGGGCUGGUCUGGGAGAUUUUCCUCUAUUACCUCAAACCACAGGCAUGGUAUUAUUUCUAUUAUAACAGGUUGAAUGUUCCUAGUUUAUUUUAGUGUUUCAAGUCACUGUAAUAAAGGCCUUAAAAACACAUUCUUACAAAAAAAAAUCUUACAAGGUUCUAAUGUAUAAGCUAGCUGUAAGCAGAGUCUACAUAUAUACUGAAACUCCUAUGCAUUUACUCAUUAAAAGUAUAUUUUGUGACCUAGUAAUGUACAUAGCAUUGUGGUGAGGAUAACUUCAAAGAAUUCACAGUUUCUUGUAGAAGACAAAGUAAGACAAAAUUCAUAUGGGGACACUGGGGGACCACAGUGUGAUUUUCAUGACCCUCAAUACUUUUGAGUCCUUUUCCCCCUAAAAAAUAUUAAAAAUUACAUAUUACAACUGUGCCUAAAUAUUUUAUUGCAAAAAAAAAAAAAAAAAAACAACUGUGCCUAUAUUCAGAUAAAUAGAAUCCAAGCUGUAUUAUAUUCUCUUUAGAUAUGUAACUAGUUUUAAAAGAAAUUAAAACAUUUCAUGGACCCUCUAUGUAUUAUAGGCUCUGGGUACUACACCUACUAUGCCCAAUAGAUAAGUCGACCCUGGAGAUGAGGAUUUGCAGAAGUGAUACUUGAGAAAAGGAUUAUUACCAGAAAAGAGGGGAAAGAUCAUUUUAGGAAGAGAAGGCAUGGACAAAAUCUUAAACUUAUGAAUGUUAAGGUAAGAGGUCCCAUGAGGGACCCUAAUUGGUAAAAAUGAGUUUGGAAAAGGUAGGCAGAAGCCAAAAUAUGAAGAAUCUUGUCUGCUAUUCUAAGAACAAUGAGGAAUUGAUAGAGAUAUCUGUGGAGUGACAUGUCCAAAUCUGUCUUACAGAGAGAUUACACUGGAACCACUGGAAAGAGGAUGUAGGUGCUUAAGAGACAAAGGCGGGCUGGGGCUGUGACUCAGUGGUAGAGCACUUGCCUAGCAUAUGUGAGGCACUGGGUUUGAUUCUCAGCACCACAUAAAAAUAAAUAAAAUAAAGGUCAAGCUAAAAAAUUUUUUUUUAAAUUUUAAAAAAGAGAGACAAUGGCAAGAAUUUAUAUAAUGAUGACAGCCUUAAAUCAGAUAGUGUUAACAAAAAUUAUAAAAAUUCCAAAGGACACAGGUGAUCAAUGAGAUAAGGAGGAAGGAGGCAGAAGCCUGGGUUCUAGUACUUGACUACCCAUCCAAUAUACAACAAAUCAUCCAACUCAGAUAUGGGAAGCAGCUACUGUCUGCAAUAUUUCUCCAGAUCAUUCUCAUAUUCAUCCCAUUAGACCAAUUCUUCCAGACCUUUUGAUCUCACCUUUAAUCCCUCCUGUCCUGAUAUCCUAUUUAAAUUCAUUUUUCCCCUUUUAAGGCUUAUCAGUGUUUGGUCACAAUUUUGUAUUUGACCUUUGACUCUGCACUUAGUCAUGAAUAUGAAGAACUCCUGUUGCUUAUUCCGGCCCCUGGAACCUAGCCAAUCCUACUUGACCUCCACAUAGGUUGGGGGCAGUGUAGUUAAGUCCUUUCUGCUGUGAACUGGUGAAUUUAGUAAAGGUACUGGCUGAGAGGGAAAAAGAAGGUGAGAAGCAGUUUGGAGAAAGAUAGUUAUUUCAAUUCUGCAUAUAUUAAAUCCAAGCUUCUACAGGUAUAGCCUAGACAUUAACCAAAGCAAUCACAAUAUGGUCCUAGAAUUUAGGAGAAUGCUCUGAGCUAGGAAGAGAGAUGUGUGUAGCUAAAAAAAAAAUUUACAUAGCAAGCUUUACCCUAGGCUUUGAAAGGCCUGCUUGCGAGGUUGGUCCUUGGCUGGCACAUAGGAACUUUGGGGGAGUGUUUCCACCACUCCCCAACUUUUAAGUAGGUCCACUGUACCUAAACAGUGCAAACAAUAUGGUUUAUGCUGACCACCUGCUUUCAGGGAGUCUGGAAUUUUGGUACUUGCUAAGCAGAGGGUACCUUUGUGACUAGCCUCCAAUAAAAAGCCUUGGGCACCAAGUCUGCAAUGAGCUUUUCUAGUUGAGAACACUUUUUCUAUAUUGUCACAAUUUGUGCUAGAGGAAUUAAGUAUGUCAAACUUGACUUUGUUGGGAUGGGACUCUAGGAAGUUUGCCAGGCUUCCUCUAGACUUAUUUUCAUGAACCAUUCCCCUUUGCUGAUUAUGCUUAUAUCCUUUCCCUGUAAUAAAUCCCAGCUAUAAGUACAAUGACACAUGGAUUCCUGAGUUCUAAUAAAUCUAAUAAAUCAUCCAACCUGGGGGUAGUCUUAGAGACUCACAAAAUGGAGAUUUUGAUUCUAAUCAAUUAGUUUUGGUAAAAUCCAUAAAAGACUAAUCAAUCUCAUACUAACAGCAGGAACACCUACAACUCGGUGCUGGGAAUAAAAAUGUAAUUGAACCUUUGCCAAGUUGCAUGGUUGCAGUAGGCCGGCCAGAUAACCUGAUUCCAAUUUGCUAAGAGUAAAAAUAUCAUUUUGCCUGACCCUAUAGACAAAAGUGAAGAUUCCUAAUUCCUAUUGCAAAGUGCACUGUUCUGAAAUCCAGUCAAAGAACAAAGGUGACAGUCAAGGGAAAAGUAAAAAAAUGCUCCUAACUAUGACAGAAGCAAAAUCUACUUAAUUAAGAGUUAGUAUGGUAGAAAGAUAUUCCCUUAAAAAAAAAAAAAAAAACACGACAGCAGUUGCAACAAAGAUGUUGUGAGGACCAUGACUAUUCUUUUACCAAAUUAAGAACAGUACAAAAUUUCUGGUGUUGGAUAUAAGACCCCAAAUAAAAUUUCUAGAGAACGAAUGUUGUAUGCUGUACAAAGGGCUUAUGAUUGAUUGUUCAACAGUAUGGCAGAUCCUACAGCAAGCACUAACAUCAACACUAUAAGAUGAAAUCAUUCACUAGCAUCCCCUUGAAAGACUUCCCACUGUCGCUACCACCAGCAUCAAUAGGGAAACCUUCCCUUAGUGUCUUUCUGAAGGUAGCUCUAACUCAGGUACUAAGUCAGACAGGUUGGCUGGCCAAGCAAUUUACUCUACAUGCAGAUAAGUUUGUCAAAGAGAGAAUGCUUAUGAGACUCACUAUUUCUAUUAUUCAUCUUGCUAAACUUGCUCAGCAACAUAUGAUAUUCAUUCAAUACCAGUAAUCAGUGAUCGCACUUCUUUCUCUUUUUUUGGUUUGAUUCUUAUUUCACAUCACUAGUUCAGGUAGAUAGAAACUUUUUUAUUAUUUAUACCAUAAAUUGCAGGAUGGUGAGGAAUCAUAAUUAAACCUGACCAAAUCCAAGCUAAUAGAAGAAUGGAUGCCACCCAAAGAAUCUGGACUCAAGAAUGGCUAAAUCAUGCCACUUCACAACACAGAUUUGCAUUGUUUCUUGCUGGGAAAAUGCAAACAUGUUUGAAAUUAUACAAAAGACAGUUGGAUUAGAAUUAAACAGAGCAUUUUACAUUUAAAUGUAUGAGAAGGAGCAGUGUAUAACACAUCGGGCAGCUAAGAGGUUACUCUAUCUUCAAAUGAUUUUCCAAAGGAAAUGGGAUAAUACUACAAAAAAAAAAUGGGGCCAAUUCAAUUUUCAUAUAUUUAAUACUCAAAGCAAAACUUGCUUAAAAAUAAUUAUGAACCCACAAUUAUCAUAAGGGCAAAUAUACUCAGGGACUAACAUGUAUACUGAGAACUCACAAUCUUUCUCAAGAGACUGAGGAAAAAUCACCAUUGAUAUUCUUCACCAUGUCCUUUGAAACACAGAAUGAUGUUCUCAAUGAUCUGGCUUCCUAGGAAAUAAUUUUCUUUUUUUUUUUUUUUUUUUGGCACCAGGAAUUGAAUCCAAGGAAUGCCCUACCACUGAAUUACAUCCACAGGCCUUUUUGUUCGUUUCAGACAAGAUGUCACUGAAUUGCUGAGGCUGAUCUCAAACUUGCAAUCCUCCUGCUUCAGCCUUCCCAGAUGCUGGGAUUACAGGUGUGUGCCACCACGCUGGGCUAGGAAAUUAUUUUCUAACAGAUGCUCACCAAUUCUAUACAAGAUAAGGGGAAGAUCUCAAAUGAGCCUGCUGCCAUUGCAAAAGAAUACCUAUUACCUCCUUCAUGCAAAGGGCUGUUUCUACAGUUUUCUACUCCCCUGGCCAGAGAUUAUUCAAAUGGAGAAAUGCGACAUUAAAAGUUUUAUGCGGGAGUAAAAUGCAUUAAAAAAAAAAAGUCUCAGACUCAUCUUAUUAACUCUGGUCCUUAACACAGCAUCUUUACAGGCCCCAUUCCAUCUCCUUUCUGGAUACAUCUUUAUGAUCCAGAUUCUGUUUUAUACCUUUCAGAAGUAAUAUUUCUCUCUUCUUUUAUGAAUAAGACAGGAUUAUUUGCUUAUGGAAAUCAGAGUAAUUACAGAGAUAUGAUAUAACAAAGUUAUAAAAUUAGAAAGGAGUCUUUAGGAAGAAGUAAAUGAGAAUGAAAAUUUCCCGAGGCAUUUCUACUUCUCCAGAAUGCCAUGUAGUGGGAAAAGCACUAGCUUUGCAGGUAAAUGAUUGUGUGAUAACUGUUUCUCUUUAAGUGUGCUAGUUACUAUACUAAGUGGCAAUAACACUUCAAGGAUAUCUUGGGAGGUUAUGAAUUCAUGCUAGGUCCUAACAAUGCUAGCUGAAAAUAGAAAAAUCUGGAAAACAAGAAAAUAGGGUAAAAGGAUGUACUUCCUUGGGAGAGCAGCUGAGAAGCUGGUAAUCUCAAAAUAGAAGUUUUCAAGACAGACACACUAUAAAGAACAAGUUCUAUGGACCCGACAUGGAACAUAAUAUAUUCAAAUGAUGCAUUUCAAACCAUUUGUUCACUUCUAUAUUAGAACCACAAAGAAUACAAUCAUUGCUAAAUAGAAGCUACGAAUAGAUGAAUGGGCCUUUGUAUUUACAGCCUUGGUUUAUUGGGAAACGAAUGAAUGUAUUAAAGAGAACCCUUCUUUUUCUCAACUGGAAUACCAAUUUACUGAUGCUUUAAGGUAAUUUUUCCAUAUAGUACACUUCCUAGUUGUUUCAAGUGCAUGUUUGAGACAUCUUAUCAUGCUAGCAGCACUAUUAUAUCUUCCUCUCCGACCGCCCCCCCUUCCUUAUAGAGCUAAGGAUCAAAACCAAGACUUCGUGCAUGCUUUACCACUGAGCUACAUCCCCCGUUCUACUGUAUCAUUUCUUGCAAAAGACUAUGUCAAACAAAGAAUAAAUGUGUUUUUUUCCUUUAUCCCUACUUUUUUUCAUUGUCCAAGGAAUACUCCAUAGAACAAUAAAUGCUGGAUUUAGGCUUCCAUCAUAUUAGGUACACUGAAAUUUGUGAGAGUGUAUGAAUUAUUUACAUAUUUUUCUUAAAAAAAAAUGAGACAGGGUUUUUUUGGGGGACAGGGUCUCACUAUGUUGCCCAGGCUGCUCUUCAACUCAUAUGCUUAAACCACACUCCUGUCAACCUCCCAAGUAGCUGGCACCACAAGUAUACACCACCACACCUCUUAAACUGGCAUACUUUGCAACUGAUUUAUAUCAUUGCCUUCUCCUCCACUCAGGUGGUUCUCUCUUCCUCUGUGAAUAUGAUUAUCUCUUCAUACUACAGUAGGGAUCAAAUGCCUUUUUCC